AUUGAACGCUGGCGGCAGGCCUAACACAUGCAAGUCGAGCGGAUGAAGGGAGCUUGCUCCUGGAUUCAGCGGCGGACGGGUGAGUAAUGCCUAGGAAUCUGCCUGGUAGUGGGGGAUAACGUCCGGAAACGGGCGCUAAUACCGCAUACGUCCUGAGGGAGAAAGUGGGGGAUCUUCGGACCUCACGCUAUCAGAUGAGCCUAGGUCGGAUUAGCUAGUUGGUGGGGUAAAGGCCUACCAAGGCGACGAUCCGUAACUGGUCUGAGAGGAUGAUCAGUCACACUGGAACUGAGACACGGUCCAGACUCCUACGGGAGGCAGCAGUGGGGAAUAUUGGACAAUGGGCGAAAGCCUGAUCCAGCCAUGCCGCGUGUGUGAAGAAGGUCUUCGGAUUGUAAAGCACUUUAAGUUGGGAGGAAGGGCAGUAAGUUAAUACCUUGCUGUUUUGACGUACCAACAGAAUAAUCU
This 468-nucleotide ribosomal RNA is filed under the name Pseudomonas aeruginosa. RNAcentral describes it as "bacterial SSU rRNA". It matches the Rfam family "Bacterial small subunit ribosomal RNA", at positions 30 to 492 of the family's 1533-position model. Lineage: Bacteria; Pseudomonadati; Pseudomonadota; Gammaproteobacteria; Pseudomonadales; Pseudomonadaceae. The record is from RNAcentral.